Molecule: ribosomal RNA, 454 nt
Filed under: uncultured bacterium
Lineage: Bacteria
Description: bacterial SSU rRNA
Rfam family: Bacterial small subunit ribosomal RNA
Source: RNAcentral
UACGGAAGGCAGCAGUGGGGAAUAUUGCACAAUGGGCGCAAGCCUGAUGCAGCCAUGCCGCGUGUAUGAAGAAGGCCUUCGGGUUGUAAAGUACUUUCAGUCGUGAGGAAGGUGUUAAGGUUAAUAACCUUAGCAAUUGACGUUAGCGACAGAAGAAGCACCGGCUAACUCCGUGCCAGCAGCCGCGGUAAUACGGAGGGUGCGAGCGUUAAUCGGAAUUACUGGGCGUAAAGGGCACGCAGGCGGUUAAUUAAGUUGGAUGUGAAAUCCCCGGGCUUAACCUGGGAAUGGCAUUCAAGACUGGUUAGCUAGAGUCUUGUAGAGGGGGUAGAAUUCCAUGUGUAGCGGUGAAAUGCGUAGAGAUGUGGAGGAAGUACCGGUGGCGAAGGCGGCCCCGUGGACAAAGACUGACGCUCAUGUGCGAAGCGUGGGGAGCAAACGAGGAUUAGAUACC